AUUAAUUGCUCCUACCAUCCAUCAUCCAAUGUUUAGGAAUUAGGAUUAAUGGGGUGGUUUAAUUUCCAUAGUUUACAUUUUGAUAUUGUUGUUAAUCAGUUAAUGUGAAGGGCUUGGGGUUGAUUCCCCGGUAGUUGUAAAUUUGUAAUGAUGGAUUGAAGGUUUUGUCGGGGCGGUGAUGAUACUGCAUUGUUGAAAGACUCAAAAUAGAGUGGAAAGGCUGAGCCUAGGGGUAUUAUUAGGGUCUUAACGAUAUGUUUAGCACUCCAUUUGUUAGGUGCAUUGUUAGAGUCAAUUUAUGUCUCACUCCAUUUGUUAGUUGCACUCUACAGAAAACUGAAGACGCUCUGGAAUUGGAUUGUCCACUCUGAUCAGAAAAAAUGGACCGUCAUACUGCUGUUUGUUAUGCAAUUCUCACUCUGGCAAUGGCUACUUCUUCUACAAUUCAGCUUUAAUUCUUCUCUAAAACCCUUUAGUUCUUCUCGAAACCCCCGAAAUUGCCGAAAACUCGUUUUGUUAAUUUUUGAACUUAAACCCUUUCUUUGAAUUUUAUUUAACUACAGAUUGGCGCUCGAGAUGAAUUCAGGAAGACCCAAAUAAUCACAACGAAUUCUCCGUUCUCUAUUGCAUUUGAAACCCUCCAGAAGCAGAUUGACUGCUUUCAUGUAGAUAAUCCGGCCGUAGUCUGUGGUGCUUUUUGUGCUAUAUUCGGUGUUGUUGCCCUUGAUUCUGGGAAGUCCGAUGCUGCUGCAAAAGUGUUCUUGAAUGUUCAUGCUCGCACUGGUGAAUUAGCUGCUGAUUUUUAGGUACUUAUCAUUUGAAAAGUCUCGGAUUGGGUUCCUUUGUCAGCAAGUAUUUAUUAUUGGCCUGAGCGCUUGAUCGAGGCUGUUUAGUUGUUAUAGAACAAUUUUUAUAUUAAAAUGUAUGCGUACGUUGAAAUUGGAACAUAUAUUUAAAUGUAGUACGUGCACUUUGGUUUUGGGAUAUAUAUAUAUAUAUA
Long non-coding RNA from Spinacia oleracea (spinach), 1000 nucleotides. RefSeq lists it as uncharacterized. The record is from RefSeq and is a predicted model, not a curated record. Lineage: Eukaryota; Viridiplantae; Streptophyta; Magnoliopsida; Caryophyllales; Amaranthaceae. The transcript is spliced from 3 exons.